UCAGCUUGCCUUUCUGCUGAACUGUACUGUAUCCAAACCCAUUCGUAUUUUGGGCUCGUCCAUGUGAAAGCAAAGAAAGAGUCUUAAUACCCUACCGUUCAGUAGUUUUAUUGAUGAGAUUAUUUAUUUUCAAGGUUUGAGGUCACGUCUCUUGUUGUACCAAAGAAGCAAUAAACAUGGUUUCUUACUCUCUUGCAUGUUUUUUUUAUAGCUGGGUUCAAUGAAAAGAAGUCACUUACAGUUGUUCAGAUACGUAAAGCUUUUUAAAUACUGGCAUUUCUGUAGGCCUGUGUUUAUGAUGUUAGUGCUUUGUUCUACAGAGAAAUUAAAAAGCCCUUUCUGCUCCCCAG
This 350-nucleotide long non-coding RNA is filed under the name Bos taurus (domestic cattle). RNAcentral describes it as "long non-coding RNA NONBTAT025064". Lineage: Eukaryota; Metazoa; Chordata; Mammalia; Artiodactyla; Bovidae. The record is from RNAcentral.